This 381-nucleotide ribosomal RNA is filed under the name Ficobolus paniaguai. Its description in RNAcentral is "partial 16S ribosomal RNA". Lineage: Eukaryota; Metazoa; Arthropoda; Insecta; Hymenoptera; Braconidae. The record is from RNAcentral.
UUUUAAGUCCAAUCUGCCCAAUGAUUAAUUAAAUGGCUGCAGUAUUCAUAACUGUACUAAGGUAGCAUAAUAACUUGUUUUCUAAUUAAAAAAUUGAAUAAAAGAUUCCAUGAGAUAUAUUCUUUCUUUAUAUUAUAUAAAUUAAAUUUAUUAUUUAAGUAAAAAAACUUAAAUAAAAUAAAAAGACGAUAAGACCCUAUAAAAUUUUAUUUAUAUAUAAAAAUUUAUUAAUAUUAUUAAUUAAAUAUAAUAUUUUUAUUAUAAAUUUAAUUGGGGUAAUUAAAAAAUUUAAAAAACUUUUUUUUAAAAAACAUAAAUUAAUGAAUAUUUUAAUUUAAAUUUUAAAAAUUAAAAUUAAUUACUUUAGGGAUAACAGCAUAA